CUAGUGGUGUCACGUUGGACUACUAAGCCAGAGAUUGCGGGUUCAAGCCCGGCCU
Molecule: transfer RNA, 55 nt
Filed under: Oxyrrhis marina
Lineage: Eukaryota; Dinophyceae; Oxyrrhinales; Oxyrrhinaceae
Description: partial tRNA
Source: RNAcentral